UACAGAGGGUGCAAGCGUUGUUCGGAAUUAUUGGGCGUAAAGGGCGCGUAGGCGGUGCGGUAAGUCUGCGGUGAAAUCUCCCGGCUCAACUGGGAGGCUGCCGUGGAAACUGCCGUGCUUGAGUGUGGGAGAGGUGAGUGGAAUUCCCGGUGUAGCGGUGAAAUGCGUAGAUAUCGGGAAGAACACCCGUGGCGAAGGCGGCUCUCUGGGACGGUACUGACGCUGAGACGCGAAAGCGUGGGGAGCGAACAGG
RNAcentral lists this ribosomal RNA (253 nucleotides) under uncultured bacterium. RNAcentral describes it as "partial 16S ribosomal RNA". It matches the Rfam family "Bacterial small subunit ribosomal RNA", at positions 524 to 776 of the family's 1533-position model. The record is from RNAcentral.